Molecule: ribosomal RNA, 201 nt
Filed under: Limosilactobacillus balticus
Lineage: Bacteria; Bacillati; Bacillota; Bacilli; Lactobacillales; Lactobacillaceae
Description: Limosilactobacillus sp. BG-AF3-A partial 16S ribosomal RNA
Rfam family: Bacterial small subunit ribosomal RNA
Source: RNAcentral
UUUAUAUGAGAGUUUGAUCCUGGCUCAGGAUGAACGCCGGCGGUGUGCCUAAUACAUGCAAGUCGUACGCACUGGCCCAACUAAUUGAUGGUGCUUGCACCUGAUUGACGAUGGAUCACCAGUGAGUGGCGGACGGGUGAGUAACACGUAGGUAACCUGCCCCGGAGCGGGGGAUAACAUUUGGAAACAGAUGCUAAUACC